RNAcentral lists this ribosomal RNA (390 nucleotides) under uncultured bacterium. RNAcentral's name for it is "bacterial SSU rRNA". It matches the Rfam family "Bacterial small subunit ribosomal RNA", at positions 28 to 419 of the family's 1533-position model. The record is from RNAcentral.
GACGAACGCUGGCGGCGUGCUUAACACAUGCAAGUCGAGCGGUAAGGCCCUUUCGGGGGUACACGAGCGGCGAACGGGUGAGUAACACGUGGGUGACCUGCCCUCAGCUCUGGGAUAAGCCUGGGAAACCGGGUCUAAUACUGGAUAUGACUCCAUGACGCAUGUUGUGGGGUGGAAAGCCUUGUGCGGCUGAGGAUGGGCCCGCGGCCUAUCAGCUUGUUGGUGGGGUGANGGCCUACCAAGGCGACGACGGGUAGCCGGCCUGAGAGGGCGACCGGCCACACUGGGACUGAGACACGGCCCAGACUCCUACGGGAGGCAGCAGUGGGGAAUCUUGCGCAAUGGGCGAAAGCCUGACGCAGCAACGCCGCGUGAGGGAUGACGGCCUGG